This 274-nucleotide unclassified non-coding RNA is filed under the name Hevea brasiliensis (rubber tree). The record is from RNAcentral. Lineage: Eukaryota; Viridiplantae; Streptophyta; Magnoliopsida; Malpighiales; Euphorbiaceae.
GGCUUUAAACAGCUGCAGAAGGUUUUCUGUCUUUUUCUUUCACAUAAAACGAGUGGGCAUGCACCACAUGCACACACAUGCACAUGCUCAUAUAUUUUUUUUAAGAAUAUGUUUUUUUGCAGAGGUUUAAUAUGUAUUUUGCUAAGAACAUCCAUCUAUAUUUAUGUAUUCGAUUUUAGUUGGGAUUUAUUGGUGUAUACUGAGCUGUUUGCGCUAGCAUUAGAGAUCAAUCGAACAAUAAUUAUGUUGUGUAUCCUGGAAUUGCAGGCAGAAA